RNAcentral lists this ribosomal RNA (177 nucleotides) under uncultured bacterium. RNAcentral describes it as "partial 16S ribosomal RNA". It matches the Rfam family "Bacterial small subunit ribosomal RNA", at positions 338 to 507 of the family's 1533-position model. The record is from RNAcentral.
CCUACGGGAGGCAGCAGUGAGGAAUAUUGCGCAAUGGGGGAAACCCUGACGCAGCGACGCCGCGUGAGUGAUGAAGGCCUUCGGGUUGUAAAGCUCUGUCAGCAGGGAAGAAAUGGCAUAUGGCUAAUAUCCAUGUGUUUUGACGGUACCUGCAGAGGAAGCACCGGCUAAUCCGUG